CCCCGUGUUGAAUAUUAGAUUGAUAAAUUUCAAUGGUUUUGGAUUGCCAAUCUCACAAAAAUGCUUACGAUCUUUUUAUUGAUAAAUUUUAGUAUUUUAUUGUCAUUCUCUAGAAAGUAAUUCAUGAUCCCAUCUUUAGUCAGUUUUAUCAUUUUAAUUUUUAGAAGAUAAUUUAUGAAGCCAUUCAUAGAUCCUUGUUUAUUG
This 204-nucleotide long non-coding RNA is filed under the name Elaeis guineensis (African oil palm). RNAcentral's name for it is "long non-coding RNA (EGUI_LNC037477)". Lineage: Eukaryota; Viridiplantae; Streptophyta; Magnoliopsida; Arecales; Arecaceae. The record is from RNAcentral.